CGGGCGUUAGGGGCGUCACGCGUUGAGGGUGCACUGUUUUGUCUGCCAUAGCGAUCAGAUCCUUGUUGGAAAAGUACCCAGGCAAACACAUCACGGCGGAGGGCCUCGUUCAUUGAAGUAUGGAUAUGGACUUAGAGUUCCGGAAUGUUUACUUGUUCGCUCAAAACUUUCGCGCUGCAACAACCGAGCGUUAAACGAUCAGUUUCGUUUAGCCGUACGAUCGUACGAGUGUCAAUUGGAUUAGACCGUCGUCAGCGUUCAGUAGCGACCGAAUAGAAUUAAUUAAUCCAACUUGACGCCAAGUAGAUGACGAAUAUAUCACUUGAGAACGUCGACACGGCUGUAACUGGCGUUGAAAAUUCGCGGAGAGUCAAGUGAAAAAUAAAUAAAAAAAGAAGGCAUAAGAGACACUCCCCGAAUCCAAAUGCAAAACGUUGUUUAUUUCCCUGCUCGUCUUGGCAACGGACUGAUUACUGCCUCGAUUGAGGAAAUGAUGUUGGCAAGCGAGCUGCAUCAUCAUUCAAAAGGAGGAGGAAAAAUUCACCAAGAUACAGCUUCCGAGGUGGAAAGGAAUCAGCCGAAAAAUUGAAAACAGAAGCUCGAGGAGACCUUACAUGGCAAUAUGGCGUGGUUGUUUGGCAUGCAAAAUUGUG
This is a long non-coding RNA of Anopheles arabiensis, 653 nucleotides long. RefSeq lists it as uncharacterized. The record is from RefSeq and is a predicted model, not a curated record. The transcript has 3 exons. NCBI's taxonomy places the organism in Eukaryota, Metazoa, Arthropoda, Insecta, Diptera, Culicidae.